RNAcentral lists this ribosomal RNA (168 nucleotides) under Leiosphaerella praeclara. RNAcentral describes it as "partial 18S ribosomal RNA". It matches the Rfam family "Eukaryotic small subunit ribosomal RNA", at positions 1665 to 1830 of the family's 1831-position model. Lineage: Eukaryota; Fungi; Ascomycota; Sordariomycetes; Amphisphaeriales; Amphisphaeriaceae. The record is from RNAcentral.
CACACCGCCCGUCGCUACUACCGAUUGAAUGGCUCAGUGAGGCUUUCGGACUGGACCCGGGAGGUCGGCAACGACCACUCAGGACUGGAAAGUUAUCCAAACUCGGUCAUUUAGAGGAAGUAAAAGUCGUAACAAGGUCUCCGUUGGUGAACCAGCGGAGGGAUCAUU